GUGUGGUUUGGCUCGUGUUGCUCAGACUUUAGUUUUGUGUGGUUUGGCUCGUGUUGCUCAGUCUUUAGUUUUGUGUGGUUGGGCUCGUGUUGCUCAGUCUUUAGUUUUGUUUGGUUGUGCUCGUGUUGCUCAGUCUUUAGUUUUGUGUGGUUUGGUUCGUGUUGCUCAGUCUUUAGUUUUGUGUGGUUUGGUUCGUGUUGCUC
This 203-nucleotide long non-coding RNA is filed under the name Mytilus galloprovincialis (Mediterranean mussel). Lineage: Eukaryota; Metazoa; Mollusca; Bivalvia; Mytilida; Mytilidae. The record is from RNAcentral.